This 459-nucleotide ribosomal RNA is filed under the name uncultured bacterium. RNAcentral describes it as "partial 16S ribosomal RNA". It matches the Rfam family "Bacterial small subunit ribosomal RNA", at positions 338 to 795 of the family's 1533-position model. The record is from RNAcentral.
CCUACGGGUGGCAGCAGUGAGGAAUAUUGGUCAAUGGGCGGGAGCCUGAACCAGCCAAGCCGCGUGAGGGAAGAAGGUACAGCGUAUCGUAAACCUCUUUUGUCAGGGAACAAAGGCGGGGACUAGUCCCCGGAUGAGGGUACCUGAAGAAAAAGCAUCGGCUAACUCGGUGCCAGCAGACGCGGUAAUACGGAGGCUGCGAGCGUUAUCCGGAUUUAUUGGGUUUAAAGGGUGCGCAGGGGGCCUGUUAAGUCAGCGGGAAAAGCCCGGGGCUCACCCCCGGCGAGCCGUGGAAACUGGCGGGCUGGAGUUGGCGAGAAGUACGCGGAAUGCGCGGUGUAGCGGUGAAAUGCUUAGAUAUCGCGCAGAACCCCGAUUGCGAAGGCAGCGUACCGGCUCCACACUGACGCUGAGGCACGAAAGCGUGGGUAUCGAACAGGAUUAGAUACCCUAGUAGUC